GACGAACGCUGGCGGCGUGCUUAACACAUGCAAGUCGAACGGUAAGGCCCUUCGGGGUACACGAGUGGCGAACGGGAGAGUAACACGUGGGUGAUCUGCCCUGCACUUCGGGAUAAGCCUGGGAAACUGGGUCUAAUACCGGAUAGGACCCUGGGAUGCAUGUCCUGGGGUGGAAAGCUUUUGCGGUGUGGGAUGGGCCCGCGGCCUAUCAGCUUGUUGGUGGGGUGAUGGCCUACCAAGGCGACGACGGGUAGCCGGCCUGGGAGGGUGACCGGCCACACUGGGACUGAGAUACGGCCCAGACUCCUACGGGAGGCAGCAGUGGGGAAUAUUGUACAAUGGGCGCAAGCCUGAUGCAGCGACGCCGCGUGAGGGAUGACGGCCUUCGGGUUGUAAACCUCUUUCAGCACCGACGAAGCGCAAGUGACGGUAGGUGCAGAAGAAGGACCGGCCAACUACGUGCCAGCCGCCGCCGUAA
This 478-nucleotide ribosomal RNA is filed under the name uncultured bacterium. Its description in RNAcentral is "partial 16S ribosomal RNA". It matches the Rfam family "Bacterial small subunit ribosomal RNA", at positions 28 to 523 of the family's 1533-position model. The record is from RNAcentral.